This 232-nucleotide ribosomal RNA is filed under the name Xylella fastidiosa subsp. multiplex. RNAcentral describes it as "partial 23S ribosomal RNA". It matches the Rfam family "Bacterial large subunit ribosomal RNA", at positions 873 to 1103 of the family's 2925-position model. Lineage: Bacteria; Pseudomonadati; Pseudomonadota; Gammaproteobacteria; Lysobacterales; Lysobacteraceae. The record is from RNAcentral.
GGUAGCGCCUCAUAUGUAUCCUCUCGGGGGUAGAGCACUGUUACGGCUAGGGGGUCAUCGCGACUUGCCAAACCAUUGCAAACUCCGAAUACCGAGAAGGACUGUAUGGGAGACACACGGCGGGUGCUAACGUCCGUCGUGAAAAGGGAUACAACCCAGACCCACAGCUAAGGUCCCAAUUUCAUAGCUAAGGGGAUAACGAUGUGGACAGGAAUUGACAGCCAGGAGGUUG